Molecule: non-coding RNA, 752 nt
Organism: Paramisgurnus dabryanus
Lineage: Eukaryota; Metazoa; Chordata; Actinopteri; Cypriniformes; Cobitidae
Source: RefSeq, a predicted model, not a curated record
UUUAGACAAAGUAAUAGCAUGAAGUCUUGUGGAGAUCCAUUUUCAUGUUUCAAUGGGAGCAUAAAUUAUGGACAAAGCAGAAUAUCUGUCAACACCCAAUGCUGUAAUACAAAUCUCUGCAACAGUAAAGAUGCACCAGAGUUGCCAAGACCUCCCCUUAAUGGAAAGAGUUGUUAUUCCUGUGAUCAGACAAACUGUUUUAAAGUUUUGCCAUGUGAAGGUGAUGAGAACCAAUGCUUUACUUUCAUAGUUGAGGUAAAUGGCAAGAAUGACACUCAGAAAGGAUGUUCAAGCAAGCUGUUCUGUGGCAACUUUGGAUCGCGAGCCAAUAAAGCACUUAUGCAGGGACGUAGUUCGAGUUAUUUUGACAUGAAAUGUUGUGAGGGAAACCUGUGUAACAGUGCCCAGAGCAUGAGAGUUUUCUUUGUUCCAAUGGUAUUUCUAAUCGUUCUAUACUUAUCAUCAAAGAUAUUGUAACAAAUGGAAAUUAUGAUGUCCUCCUUUUAAUGGCCACACAGUUUGGGUGUGCACAAGAGAGCAUGAGGUGUGGCUGCACGCACCAUAUAGCUCUGUGUCAGUAAACAGCUUACAUUAAUCCAUGUAUAAAAUGUAAAAUGUAUUUAUAUAUUUAUAAACCUUUUUCUCAGUUUGCUUUACCAUUUUGAAGUCACACUGCUAAUAAUAGAAAGCAUCACGUUUGCCUUAACUGAGUGAAGACCACAAAAUAAACCACAUGUGGUAGAUGUUGUGAA